GGCGUAGUCGAUGGGAAACAGGUUAAUAUUCCUGUACUUGGUGUUACUGCGAAGGGGGGACGGAGAAGGCUAUGUUGGCCGGGCGACGGUUGUCCCGGUUUAAGCGUGUAGGCUGGUUUUCCAGGCAAAUCCGGAAAAUCAAGGCUGAGGCGUGAUGACGAGGCACUACGGUGCUGAAGCGACAAAUGCCCUGCUUCCAGGAAAAGCCUCUAAGCAUCAGGUAACAUCAAAUCGUACCCCAAACCGACACAGGUGGUCAGGUAGAGAAUACCAAGGCGCUUGAGAGAACUCGGGUGAAGGAACUAGGCAAAAUGGUGCCGUAACUUCGGGAGAAGGCACGCUGAUAUGUAGGUGAAGCGACUUGCUCGUGGAGCUGAAAUCAGUCGAAGAUACCAGCUGGCUGCAACUGUUUAUUAAAAACACAGCACUGUGCAAACACGAAAGUGGACGUAUACGGUGUGACGCCUGCCCGGUGCCGGAAGGUUAAUUGAUGGGGUUAGCGGUAACGCGAAGCUCUUGAUCGAAGCCCCGGUAAACGGCGGCCGUAACUAUAACGGUCCUAAGGUAGCGAAAUUCCUUGUCGGGUAAGUUCCGACCUGCACGAAUGGCGUAAUGAUGGCCAGGCUGUCUCCACCCGAGACUCAGUGAAAUUGAACUCGCUGUGAAGAUGCAGUGUACCCGCGGCAAGACGGAAAGACCCCGUGAACCUUUACUAUAGCUUGACACUGAACAUUGAGCCUUGAUGUGUAGGAUAGGUGGGAGGCUUUGAAGUGUGGACGCCAGUCUGCAUGGAGCCGACCUUGAAAUACCACCCUUUAAUGUUUGAUGUUCUAACGUGGGCCCCUUACCGGGGUUGCGGACAGUGUCUGGUGGGUAGUUUGACUGGGGCGGUCUCCUCCUAAAGAGUAACGGAGGAGCACGAAGGUUGGCUAAUCCUGGUCGGACAUCAGGAGGUUAGUGCAAUGGCAUAAGCCAGCUUGACUGCGAGCGUGACGGCGCGAGCAGGUGCGAAAGCAGGUCAUAGUGAUCCGGUGGUUCUGAAUGGAAGGGCCAUCGCUCAACGGAUAAAAGGUACUCCGGGGAUAACAGGCUGAUACCGCCCAAGAGUUCAUAUCGACGGCGGUGUUUGGCACCUCGAUGUCGGCUCAUCACAUCCUGGGGCUGAAGUAGGUCCCAAGGGUAUGGCUGUUCGCCAUUUAAAGUGGUACGCGAGCUGGGUUUAGAACGUCGUGAGACAGUUCGGUCCCUAUCUGCCGUGGGCGCUGGAGAACUGAGGGGGGCUGCUCCUAGUACGAGAGGACCGGAGUGGACGCAUCACUGGUGUUCGGGUUGUCAUGCCAAUGGCACUGCCCGGUAGCUAAAUGCGGAAGAGAUAAGUGCUGAAAGCAUCUAAGCACGAAACUUGCCCCGAGAUGAGUUCUCCCUGACUCCUUGAGAGUCCUGAAGGAACGUUGAAGACGACGACGUUGAUAGGCCGGGUGUGUAAGCGCAGCGAUGCGUUGAGCUAACCGGUACUAAUGAACCGUGAGGCUUAACCUU
RNAcentral lists this ribosomal RNA (1539 nucleotides) under Escherichia coli. Its description in RNAcentral is "partial 23S ribosomal RNA". It matches the Rfam family "Bacterial large subunit ribosomal RNA", at positions 1408 to 2925 of the family's 2925-position model. The record is from RNAcentral. Lineage: Bacteria; Pseudomonadati; Pseudomonadota; Gammaproteobacteria; Enterobacterales; Enterobacteriaceae.